UCACGCGCCGCCGCCCCUCCCCAAUCGCGCCCCCCUCUCCAACCCUAAUCUCUCCCUCUCACGCGGCGCCACCGCCGUCGCCGCCGCCCUCGACUGCCGCCGCUCCGCCGUUGUUGCAUCCGUCGUCUCGCCGCCACCGAUCUCAAUCGCGUGAUUUCCUUUUCUUAUCCCGAAAUCGUGCAACCCUCUCACCCUAACCCUAAUCUUGUCCCCGCCGACCGACGCGCCGCCCCUCCCCGCUCGAGUCCAUGCCGCCGCAAGUUCGCCGUCGCAGGCCGCGUCACCCGGAUCAGCGUUGACGUCGCACGCCUUCCUCCUCACAUCGCCCGGCAUACGCUCGUCCUCGGUCAUAUCGGCGCCACCGCCGUCGCCGUCACACGCAGUCCUCCCCGUCCACCUCGCCGGCCUCGCGCCCUCGCCGCUCCCAACCUCGCCCACGAGAUCCUACUUUGAUAUGGUUGAGACUUCAUAAAUUAGUACACUUCCUCGAUGACCCUUCAAUGAAUGCCUAAAUACUAGAGGUACAUAUUUCUUAACUGAAUUAUGAUCUUAGAUGUCAAUUUGGACAUGCAUGUACAAUAUUAAUGGUGAAAAUGCUAUCCAAUAUCCAUAGAACUCUAGCUUAAUUUUCUCGGGGGUAGAGACCAGUCAAUUUGGAACUUUUAGCAGGCUUUCUACUUGGUACAAAGAAGAUUAUUUAUGGAAGUUCAUGCUUUUUAUAUUAUAAUUUUGUAUGAAGUUGAGCUUUAACAACUGGUUAAUAAAUCUUUCAUGGUUUCUUUGCUAACCAUCUUUACCUAAUACAUAUUUGUCCUAAUCUUUUAAGUAAAAGAAUAAAAUCAGAUCAUUUUGGAAGUGUCUGAAAUCUAAAUUUACUGCUGAAAACAAGUACUUAAUGAUUCUCUGAACUUGAGCAUGUCCCUGAAACUGAAUGAUAUGUACUGAUAGAUAUCUUACGACAAAGUGCACAUAGCUGUAAUGCUAUCUCUUACUGAUUUAAUGCACUGAUAGAUAUCUCACUAGCUAGAAGGUUUAGUCUACUAUUGAAGGCUCUUUUCUAUUAGCUAAUAGCUUCUCAGGUAUUAUUUUACCUGUUCUAUUGAUAGGACUGAUAGAGCUGUCAAUUUUUUUCAGGGUUUCUACUGCUCUCUAGGGACAGCCAUAUAUCUUUGAGAAUAUUGAUUUUAUCCCCCUAUUUGAGUCAUAUACAGAGACUGCUGUUGACCUUGAAUUUAUCCCACAGCAUUUGUGUGCAUGGAGAUAUACUGAAGUCUUUUUUUCCAGUUAUUCACAAAUAUAAUCUGGUACAUUGAAUAUUCAGUUUAAUCAUAUCAGAUUUUCAACAGAGAAUGUUUGCUAUGUAUCCCUAAUGACCCCAUUUCAACAAGGUUCUGCACAAAUCUGAAGAUAGAGUUAUGAUUUUCUCAAAAUUAACCAUGAUGUUAUCCUUCCUUGAACUAUUCAUGUAACUAAUCGGAUAGAAUAUAUAGCUUCUAUGCACAUAUUUAUGCUUUUAAAUCAACUGUAAGUUUCUUCCUUGAACAGCUGCAUUCUAUCCUUCAAUGUCUUCACAAAAUACUUUUUUUUUUCAUCCUAUCCAUUUUUUUACCGUCUAUUUAAUCAAAUGGCACGGUUUUUUUCGAAAGGGUUUCACCAAUCCAUAUUAUUAUCCAUUUACUGUCAUUACCACUAAUCAUGGUUGCUGCAUGGAAACAAAAAUGGUUUCUCUUUCAUGUUAACAGAAGCUAUGAACCAUCAGUGAUAUAAGUGAAAUCAGUGAUAUUAUGUGUAUGUGUGACAAAAAAUGAGUUAUUAUCUGCAUGUGUUUCUCAAAUUUAGAUAGCAGGCCUAAUCUUUUGUCGAGCUAGGAGAAGCCCUGAGUGCCCUGGUUAGGGAUAACCUGGAGCUUUUUUAUUAUUAAAUGAACCUGGAGCUAAAGAGUUUUUUAUGUUCUGUUGUAGCUGCCAGAAUGGAAAAUGCCUGAACAUUGCUCUGAAGAUGAGUACAUCUUUUGCAAGUCUUGAUCUGUGCACCUCUUCAGCUGGUUGUCAGCAUGAAAAAUUUAUGAUUCUGACAUAUGUCUGUGAAUAUGUUUGUAACAAUGAAUUCUAAAAACAUAUAUCUCUGAAUACGUUUGUAAAUUUAGUUGGAUUUUGUGAAGUUUUCAGUGAGCUUUGGAAUGAUUAUGAGAUAGCUAAAGAUGACUAUUGCUUGUAUGGACCAACAUGGUCUUGUAUCAUUGACUUGGUUGUAAUAUAUUUGGAAUGUGUUAAUAACUGUGAACUGAUGUAUUGUAUUCAAAUAAUUGAAGCCUUGAAUUGGUCUCAA
Molecule: non-coding RNA, 2328 nt
Organism: Oryza sativa Japonica Group (Japanese rice)
Lineage: Eukaryota; Viridiplantae; Streptophyta; Magnoliopsida; Poales; Poaceae
Source: RefSeq, a predicted model, not a curated record